Molecule: ribosomal RNA, 401 nt
Filed under: uncultured Colponema
Lineage: Eukaryota; Colponemida; Colponemidia
Description: partial small subunit ribosomal RNA
Rfam family: Eukaryotic small subunit ribosomal RNA
Source: RNAcentral
GCUUGUCUCAAAGAUUAAGCCAUGCAUGUCUAAGUAUAAACAACUUUGUACUGUGAAACUGCGAAUGGCUCAUUAUAUCAGUUAUAGUUUAUUUGAUGGUUCUUACUACAUGGAUAACCGUAGUAAUUCUAGAGCUAAUACAUGCAUCAAAGCCUGACUUCUGGAAGGGUUGUAUUUAUUAGAUGGAAACCAAUCGCGGGGCAACCCAGUAUCUGGUGAUUCAUAAUAACCGAACGAAUCGUAUGGCAUCAGCUGGCGAUGAAUCAUUCAAGUUUCUGACCUAUCAGCUUCCGACGGUAGGGUAUUGGCCUACCGUGGCAAUGACGGGUAACGGAGAAUUAGGGUUCGAUUCCGGAGAGGGAGCCUGAGAAACGGCUACCACAUCUAAGGAAGGCAGCAGG